GACGAACGCUGGCGGCGUGCCUAACACAUGCAAGUCGAACGGAAAGGCCCUGCUUUUGUGCUGUUCUCGAGUGGCGAACGGGUGAGUAUCACGUGUGUAACCUGCCCUUCUUUUUGGGAUAACUUCACGAAACUGGGGCUAAUAUCGGAUAGGAUCUCCUGCUCCAUGGUGGGGGUUGGAAAGUUUCGGCGGUUGGGGAUGGACUCGCGGCUUACCAGCUUGUUGGUUGGGUAGUGGCUUACCAAGCCUUUGACGGGUAGCUGGCCUGUGAGGGUGACCGGCCACAUUAGGACUGAGAUACGGCGCAGAGUCCAACGGGAGGCAGCAGGGGGGAAUAUGACACAAUGAGCGGAAGCGUGAUGCAGAGACGCCGGGUGCGGAAUGACGGCCUUCGGGUUAAGAACAGCUUUAGGCUGAGACGAAGCGUGAGUGACGGUAAUGAAUAAAGAAGCACCGGCUAACUACGUG
RNAcentral lists this ribosomal RNA (468 nucleotides) under uncultured bacterium. Its description in RNAcentral is "partial 16S ribosomal RNA". It matches the Rfam family "Bacterial small subunit ribosomal RNA", at positions 28 to 507 of the family's 1533-position model. The record is from RNAcentral.